Molecule: long non-coding RNA, 1543 nt
Organism: Triticum dicoccoides
Lineage: Eukaryota; Viridiplantae; Streptophyta; Magnoliopsida; Poales; Poaceae
Exons: 3
Source: RefSeq, a predicted model, not a curated record
UCCUCGAAACCAAUCCCCCACAAAACCAGCGCCGCAUUAAUAACCGCUAAUGCUCCGCCCCGAAAACAAGCGCUCCAUCCCUCCCCGUUUGUGUGCCAUGCCCCGAAAACAAGCCGCUUCUCUGUAAAUAACAGCUGCCGCUUUGCUCGCGUUUCUAAUCUGCCGCGCCUCCACCUUCUCCUUUCUCCUCAACCCAACAUGCUGCUUCCUCCACAACCGAGUAUAUCUACGCGUGGUCAAGCUGCUGACAGCCUGCCAGAAGGACUAGCUAGUCUGCCCGGCGGCUGUUUGCGGUGGAUAUUAAAUUAGUCCGACCAUGGUUUCUUCAUCUGACCGUCUUUGCGCACAGGCCAACUGCUUCCUAGAACUCGUCCUGGCUUUGAUGCACAUGAAUCUAGUAGAUGUCGAUGUGGCGAUGGAGAUGCAGGCAAGAAAUCGUUGGUGGACAGCAAAUAACCCGGAUGCCGUCGACGAUCAUGUGCCAUGAGACGGCCCGGGUGUUCGUUUCUGAAGACUCAGAUGACAAGGACCAGACAAAGGUUUGCUGAAAGGUGGUGACCGUGAAGCCAUGGAGCGUGGUGGGAUGAUGCUCAAGGAGAAUGCGACCAACAUGAUGAGGCAUGAGGAUCUGCGCUGCGGUCGACGGUGUUGCGAUGAUUAGUCAGCUCACCCUCCUGCGCUUGCUGUUCCUGGUGAUUCUGGGCGAGCUAAUCACCUUUGGUUUGUUUUAUGUUGCUCCCGUGUGAGCCUGUUGAAGCCCAUGAGAUCGUGUGUGGGCCGUUUGAUAUUCUUAUGUUUAGUCGAGUUAGCUAGGUGUCGAUGGAUUUUCGCCCCAUAUCAGGUGUUUCAAUGACAAGCACUUGUGAUGGGGUUUCCAUCAAUGCUUUGAACUUGCUUUCCCCUUUCCGGUCUCCUUAAACUCUUGUUGGACUAACUGUUUCGUAUUUUCGUCAUUCAGGUAAUGAAAAAGGGUUAUGCCCGACGCUCUUGUCUACCUUGGGCACAUUCUUGGUCGGAGCAAGCGCAGGCUCUCAUGUAGGGGCCAAAGUGACAUGGUGCCCCACCGCACCAAGGACCGUCACCACAACGACACAACCACCCGUGCACCAUGGUGUUGCAGUCUUCUCCAAAUCGGAUGGCCACAACCUCAAGCCCGAGCUUCUCCACGGUGCUGCAUUGUGCUCGGUGAAAGGAUGAGGCAAAGGUUGGUCAACCCGGAAGCAUGACGUGGACGGGAGGAAAUGCGGGUAGUCCAUCGAGCUUCUACUCCUAAAAAGAGCGGGACGAGGAAAAAUAUAUGUUUACUAUGGCAUGUGGGACCAUCAAUAUUGACUAGUCAACUGAGUUGCAACAUCACAAAAAAUCACGUUGCCACCGUCCGAGGGGGGGUAAUUUAACCGGUGUUAAUAGUUUGAGGGUGUAGUUUAACCGAUUUCAUAGUUUAGGGUUAUAGAUGAAACUAGCCCUAGAGUUCAGGGUUGAAAAUAUGCACUUCUCUACGACAUAUUAACACUAGGAGUUGAGGGGAGAUUUUUUAUCUUAA